Molecule: long non-coding RNA, 954 nt
Organism: Brassica napus (rape)
Lineage: Eukaryota; Viridiplantae; Streptophyta; Magnoliopsida; Brassicales; Brassicaceae
Exons: 3
Source: RefSeq, a predicted model, not a curated record
UUCUCACGACGUCGUUUUGUCUAUUCACAAAGCAUGAACCUUUCUGUUCUGUAUCUCCCCUCCCUCGUUGCCUGCACAUUCCACAGCCUCAGAACAAGCUCCACUUAAGAUUGCUCUUGUUCACUGUGUCUCCCGACCAGGUUAAAGUCAUGGGGGAGAUGUCUUGUUAAGUCCUCUCUCCACCACUUCUACAUCGAAUCAACUGUAUUGUGGAUGUCAUUCCGUUAAGAAGAGCAGUUGUCAUUGGUCUUUGAGUCACUCUUUAGACUUUGCAUUGACCAUGAAGCUAAAACGAAGACGCCUAGUUUACGUUAGUGUAAAGAUUGAGUCUUUAUCUUUAGGAACAACGAGAAUGUGUUUCAGUAAAGUGAGUAGUGAACCAGACAGAGUUGAAACUAUGGCUUUGGAAUGUGGAUUGAAAGAAAGAGAGAACGAGAUGAGUUUUCUAGAUGGGGUAGAACUAGAGAAGCCUGAAGGGGUUAGGAAGAGUAGGAUACAUUAUCUAGAGGAGAGGGACGGGUGAACAACGUGUACGAAGCUGAGAGAGUCUGGAGAGUUAUGAUUACUGAUGGUCUAAUAGGAACGGAGGUUACAUAUUCUCUUCUCGUUAGCAUCUUUGUCCGGUGCGGGAGAAGCGAGCUGGCUCUCGAUGCAUACGACGAGAUGAUUCACAAGAACAUAUCUCCUAGAGAGAGUGGAGCCUGAUGUGUCGCUUUACAAUGCGGUUAUACAUGGGAUGUGUUUAAUACGUGAGUUUAAGUUUGCGAAGGAGCUGUAUGUGGAAAUGAGAGAGAUGAGGUUGGAGCCGGAUGGUAAGACUCGAGCUAUGAUGCUACAGAACUUGAAGAGACUGUGAAAGUUGAAGGUGGUGAUGCUUUUGUCUACUCAUAUACUUGUUAAUUUUGCUACCUUGAUAUGAAAUGGAAUAAAACAACUAAUAAAAAAGUUCUAGCA